Molecule: ribosomal RNA, 495 nt
Filed under: uncultured bacterium
Lineage: Bacteria
Description: partial 16S ribosomal RNA
Rfam family: Bacterial small subunit ribosomal RNA
Source: RNAcentral
GACGAACGCUGGCGGCGUGCCUAAUACAUGCAAGUAGAACGCUGAAGGAGGAGCUUGCUUCUCCGGAUGAGUUGCGAACGGGUGAGUAACGCGUAGGUAACCUGCCUGGUAGCGGGGGAUAACUAUUGGAAACGAUAGCUAAUACCGCAUAAGAGUAGAUGUCGCAUGACAUUUGCUUAAAAGGUGCAACUGCACCACUACCAGAUGGACCUGCGUUGUAUUAGCUAGUUGGUGAGGUAACGGCUCACCAAGGCAACGAUACAUAGCCGACCUGAGAGGGUGAGCGGCCACACUGGGACUGAGACACGGCCCAGACUCCUACGGGAGGCAGCAGUAGGGAAUCUUCGGCAAUGGACGGAAGGCUGACCGAGCAACGACGCGUGAGUGAAGAAGGUAUUCGGAUCGUAAAGCUCUGUUGUAAGAGAAGAACGAGUGGGAGAGUGGAAAGUUCAUACUGUGACGGUAUCUUACCAGAAAGGGACGGCUAACUACGUG